CUGUGCGUAGCUUUGCCUGCUUUUGACACCAUCAAAAACAGAAAUAAUCUAUAAUAUGCCAUAUUGCAAAAGCAGUUUUUAGGGAUGUCAGUCUUAUAGUAGAGGCUGUGGGGCAGUUUAUGUGUCUAAACAA
Small nucleolar RNA from Cavia porcellus (domestic guinea pig), 133 nucleotides. It matches the Rfam family "Small nucleolar RNA U109". Lineage: Eukaryota; Metazoa; Chordata; Mammalia; Rodentia; Caviidae. The record is from Rfam.